This 441-nucleotide ribosomal RNA is filed under the name uncultured bacterium. RNAcentral describes it as "partial 16S ribosomal RNA". It matches the Rfam family "Bacterial small subunit ribosomal RNA", at positions 338 to 795 of the family's 1533-position model. The record is from RNAcentral.
CCUACGGGUGGCUGCAGUGGGGGAUAUUGCACAAUGGGGGGAACCCUGAUGCAGCGACGCCGCGUGGGUGAAGGAGCGUUUCGGCGCGUAAAGCCCUAUCGGCAGGGAAGAAGGAGGACGGUACCUGACUAAGAAGCCCCGGCUAACUACGUGCCAGCAGCCGCGGUAAUACGUAGGGGGCAAGCGUUAUCCGGAUUUACUGGGUGUAAAGGGAGCGUAGACGGCAGCACAAGUCUGGAGUGAAAUGCCGGGGCUUAACCCCGGAACUGCUUUGGAAACUGUGCAGCUAGAGUGCAGGAGAGGUAAGUGGAAUUCCUAGUGUAGCGGUGAAAUGCGUAGAUAUUAGGAGGAACACCAGUGGCGAAGGCGGCUUACUGGACUGUAACUGACGUUGAGGCUCGAAAGCGUGGGGAGCAAACAGGAUUAGAUACCCGAGUAGUC